GAUUAUGUGGCCGAGUGGUCUAUGGCGCUGGUUUUAGGCACCAGUCUCUUCUGAGGCAAGGGUUCGAAUCCCUUCAUAAUCU
RNAcentral lists this transfer RNA (82 nucleotides) under Daphnia pulicaria. Its description in RNAcentral is "tRNA-Leu". It matches the Rfam family "tRNA". From Rfam's summary of the family: Transfer RNA (tRNA) molecules are approximately 80 nucleotides in length. The record is from RNAcentral. Lineage: Eukaryota; Metazoa; Arthropoda; Branchiopoda; Diplostraca; Daphniidae.